Molecule: long non-coding RNA, 1667 nt
Filed under: Patiria miniata (bat star)
Lineage: Eukaryota; Metazoa; Echinodermata; Asteroidea; Valvatida; Asterinidae
Description: uncharacterized LOC119741904
Source: RNAcentral
AGGCAAAGAUAGCCGCAUUGAUGUGCAUCACUGCCUGCAUGACAGCAAUAGGCGUCAUUGUAUCAACCAGUCUUGCCUCAGCUAAAGAUAACCAGAGACCAUCACCCGAAACUGGUGACCUAGUGAUCAAUGGCUUCCUGAUAGCAAUUGGCUGCACGGAGUUGUCCGCUUCUAUCAUUUCUGGCUCUCAAGCCGUGGUUUUUGUGCGACAGAGUUAGAUUAGCCUCAACAUGGGUGAUGGCCUACAUGACUUAACGUAAAGAGUGGGAUGUCAAUCAACCACAACAACCAAAAUGGACCCAUCUCGGACAAACUGCAUACCGUAAUUCACCUUUUUACUUUGUAAAAACUAAUUUUAACAAAUGUUAAUUCGUUUUUAUCAACAAUUUGAAUAUAUGGAAUCACAACAUUUUAGCAAAUUUGUAAAUGUUUUAGAAUGUAUUUGUAUCAUUUUUUAAAUUCUGUAUUCUGUUUUCUGUAAUAUUUAUUUCAAUAUUUACUAACAUGUAGAAAGUACAUAAGGUUACAAUAAUAUGAUAUUUGAUAUGUACACAGUGAUAAUAAAGUAGCAAAUUAAAUGACAACAUUUUAGUUGUAAGGUCAAGCGAAGCGCUUGUGUGCCCCAACAUAUGGACAGACAAACAUACAACCAAUUAAGGUAGCGUAAUAUGGACCAAGGACAAAGAAAAUACAACGUGAGACAGACAAGCAUGGGACAAGGCCUAAUUAUUAGCUCACAAAACACCUUAAUAGAUGAUUAUGAGUCGAGGAACUCAGCUGUCAAUUUUUGUCACAAAGACAGGUAGUAUAGUAAUGAUUUAAGAGGAUCAUCUAAACUAAUCCAGUCUGCAUUCUGAUUAAACCAAGAUGUACAUCCCCGCGUUGCCUCCGAAGUAUUCGACACGUGUUGGCCUGUUCACUUAAGCCUGUUCUCUUAGUUGUGGCUUGUAGUGUGAAUCGCUUUCCUCUAACGCAAACCAAAGUUUUCAUUUUCCCUCAUUUCUUGUUCUGUUCACCAUUAUGUAACACUUUCAGAUUGUUCUUUCAUCAAAAUAUCUUAACCGGUUUUGAAGUUUUAUCAAGUUACGAUAUUUUCACACCGAUCGUUGGCAUAGCCUGCGCUUAUAAUUAAACCUUCAAAUCUCAUCUCGUAUAAAUAAUCGGUGUAAAAGUUUGGUUUAGCACAAGUUUCCUAUAAAACAGCCUUUUCUUUUACAGAGAAACGCUGUGCACCACUUUAGUGCGUUUUAAUGCAAAUUCAAUUCUUCAAUAUCAAUACAGAAGCAUUUAGUUAUUGGUUUUUUUUUUAAAUAUAGGGAACGUUAUAAUGAUCAGUAUCACUGCAUCUGUAAUAGUAUAUGUGAUACGGUUACUUUCCAGAUAGACGUUGUGUUGUUUUUUAGUUCUAGUUUCAAGCUCUAGUCUAGUUUGUUACUUCAAACGGCGCGUAUUACUGUUCUCAGUAAGCUUCUAUCAGCAGUGAUGAAUUAAUGUGUUGAGGAAAAGAAGAGCUGAAACGUUACACCUGUCCAUGUGGGAAUCUUCUGAAGACAUUUCUCGUGAAGAGGACGCCUCUUAAUGUAUAUAGGGGGGUCACUUGGCAGCUAUCGACCAAUCAACCAUAAUAGCUGGCAAUUCCUUGGCAGCAUCAAGGGGGGGGGGGAGGU